This 332-nucleotide unclassified non-coding RNA is filed under the name soil metagenome. RNAcentral's name for it is "partial contains 5.8S ribosomal RNA, internal transcribed spacer 2, and large subunit ribosomal RNA". The stretch from base 1 to 120 matches the Rfam family "5.8S ribosomal RNA", at positions 35 to 154 of the family's 154-position model. The record is from RNAcentral.
GAUGAAGAACGCAGCGAAAUGCGAUAAGUAGUGUGAAUUGCAGAAUUCAGUGAAUCAUCGAAUCUUUGAACGCACAUUGCGCCCUUUGGUAUUCCUUAGGGCAUGCCUGUUCGAGCGUCAUUUAAACCUUCAAGCUAAGCUUGGUGUUGGGUGACUGUCCGCUUCACUGCGGACUCGCCUCAAAAUUAUUGGCGGCCGGUACAUUGGCUUCGAGCGCAGCAGAAACGCGAACUCGGGCCAGUCGUAUUGGCUCCCAGAAGCUAUCUUCACAAUUUUGACCUCGGAUCAGGUAGGGAUACCCGCUGAACUUAAGCAUAUCAAUAAGCGGAGGA